CCUACGGGUGGCUGCAGUAGGGAAUAUUGGGCAAUGGAGGCAACUCUGACCCAGCCAUGCCGCGUGCAGGAAGACGGCCCUCUGGGUUGUAAACUGCUUUUGAAUGGGAAGAAUGUGAUGUUUGCGAGCAUUAAUGACGGUACCAUUAGAAUAAGCCACGGCUAACUACGUGCCAGCAGCCGCGGUAAUACGUAGGUGGCGAGCGUUAUCCGGAUUUAUUGGGUUUAAAGGGUGCGUAGGCGGCUUAAUAAGUCGGUGGUAAAAGGUAGCAGCUU
RNAcentral lists this ribosomal RNA (275 nucleotides) under uncultured bacterium. RNAcentral's name for it is "partial 16S ribosomal RNA". It matches the Rfam family "Bacterial small subunit ribosomal RNA", at positions 338 to 610 of the family's 1533-position model. The record is from RNAcentral.